RNAcentral lists this ribosomal RNA (1510 nucleotides) under Pseudomonas aeruginosa CF18. Its description in RNAcentral is "bacterial LSU rRNA". It matches the Rfam family "Bacterial large subunit ribosomal RNA", at positions 1435 to 2925 of the family's 2925-position model. Lineage: Bacteria; Pseudomonadati; Pseudomonadota; Gammaproteobacteria; Pseudomonadales; Pseudomonadaceae. The record is from RNAcentral.
AUUCCUGUACUUCUGGUUACUGCGAUGGAGGGACGGAGAAGGCUAGGCCAGCUUGGCGUUGGUUGUCCAAGUUUAAGGUGGUAGGCUGAAAUCUUAGGUAAAUCCGGGGUUUCAAGGCCGAGAGCUGAUGACGAGUCGUCUUUUAGAUGACGAAGUGGUUGAUGCCAUGCUUCCAAGAAAAGCUUCUAAGCUUCAGGUAACCAGGAACCGUACCCCAAACCGACACAGGUGGUCGGGUAGAGAAUACCAAGGCGCUUGAGAGAACUCGGGUGAAGGAACUAGGCAAAAUGGCACCGUAACUUCGGGAGAAGGUGCGCCGGCUAGGGUGAAGGAUUUACUCCGUAAGCUCUGGCUGGUCGAAGAUACCAGGCCGCUGCGACUGUUUAUUAAAAACACAGCACUCUGCAAACACGAAAGUGGACGUAUAGGGUGUGACGCCUGCCCGGUGCCGGAAGGUUAAUUGAUGGGGUUAGCGCAAGCGAAGCUCUUGAUCGAAGCCCCGGUAAACGGCGGCCGUAACUAUAACGGUCCUAAGGUAGCGAAAUUCCUUGUCGGGUAAGUUCCGACCUGCACGAAUGGCGUAACGAUGGCGGCGCUGUCUCCACCCGAGACUCAGUGAAAUUGAAAUCGCUGUGAAGAUGCAGUGUAUCCGCGGCUAGACGGAAAGACCCCGUGAACCUUUACUGUAGCUUUGCACUGGACUUUGAGCCUGCUUGUGUAGGAUAGGUGGGAGGCUUUGAAGCGUGGACGCCAGUUCGCGUGGAGCCAUCCUUGAAAUACCACCCUGGCAUGCUUGAGGUUCUAACUCUGGUCCGUGAUCCGGAUCGAGGACAGUGUAUGGUGGGCAGUUUGACUGGGGCGGUCUCCUCCUAAAGAGUAACGGAGGAGUACGAAGGUGCGCUCAGACCGGUCGGAAAUCGGUCGCAGAGUAUAAAGGCAAAAGCGCGCUUGACUGCGAGACAGACACGUCGAGCAGGUACGAAAGUAGGUCUUAGUGAUCCGGUGGUUCUGUAUGGAAGGGCCAUCGCUCAACGGAUAAAAGGUACUCCGGGGAUAACAGGCUGAUACCGCCCAAGAGUUCAUAUCGACGGCGGUGUUUGGCACCUCGAUGUCGGCUCAUCACAUCCUGGGGCUGAAGCCGGUCCCAAGGGUAUGGCUGUUCGCCAUUUAAAGUGGUACGCGAGCUGGGUUUAGAACGUCGUGAGACAGUUCGGUCCCUAUCUGCCGUGGACGUUUGAGAUUUGAGAGGGGCUGCUCCUAGUACGAGAGGACCGGAGUGGACGAACCUCUGGUGUUCCGGUUGUCACGCCAGUGGCAUUGCCGGGUAGCUAUGUUCGGAAAAGAUAACCGCUGAAAGCAUCUAAGCGGGAAACUUGCCUCAAGAUGAGAUCUCACUGGGAACUUGAUUCCCCUGAAGGGCCGUCGAAGACUACGACGUUGAUAGGCUGGGUGUGUAAGCGUUGUGAGGCGUUGAGCUAACCAGUACUAAUUGCCCGUGAGGCUUGACCAU